GUUCAGCGAAGCUUCCCCAUGAAGCGGGGGCGGCUCAGGACCUGCGCUCCCCGCAAACCUGUUUGCUCCUCAGAGGACAAACGCCCUCGCUUUCCAGAGGGGAAAGGGCUCUCGGGGAAGCCAGGUCGCUCAGGCCAGGCCCACUGCUAGUCCGGAACUGGGGUCAGAGUUCAAAAGGAGCCUGCCCGCGGUGCUGCGGGAAGAUGCCUUCCUGGAGGCCGGGCCCACAGCCCCCGGGGGCAGCUCCCGCCGGCCACGCCCCUGCUGUCCUGCAGCCCUGCGCAGCCGGGGGUCGGCCCUCAGACCUGGCCCUCUCCUGGCGGGUAGACGCUCUCUGCUCCUAACUCCUGGGCGCUGACUUCGGAGCAAAGACCUCUCAGGGUCCGGGCUGUGCAGAGAAGGCAGAGGAUGACAGUGAAUGUUCCUACCCACCCUUGCCAGCAUGUAUGACAUCAGAUCUUCUGCAUUUUGCAUAUGAUAGAGAGAAGCACUAGCUGCCGCAGAAAAGCCGUGGGCUUUCUCCAGCCGUCCCAGGAAGGUACCAAGAGAGCCAGGUAGUGGCCUCAGGACCCCAGCUGGCUUGCGGUGCAAAGCCCUUAGCAGCCAUGAGGCCUCCUUUCAGCUGUCGCCAGCUCCCAAAACAUACCUCCAGCUUGUGCUUAUGCUGGUUGCUGUGGAGACGAAAUCAUGACCUCUUGGCAUGCAUAGGGAUGCUGUGAGAUUCUGGAAAUUACAGAAAAGGCUUAUACAUCUCACACAUUACACACCAGACACCAUUAUGAGGAAUUUGAGGCUUGCUGCAGUGAGUGGACUUUCCCAUGAUCAUACAGCUCUUCACCAGCAGAGUCAGCACGCAAGCCCAGGAGCCCUCACAGCAGGGACUACUGUGAAGAGCAGAGGAAAUAUGAGGAGCUAAAUCAGAGAAGAUGGCUGAGAAGUGCAUUAUGGAACAUUAAACAAUGGCUGAUCAGCAUCAGAUACAGUAAAUGGCCCCUAAUCUACUGCCAAGAACAUGCCUGGUUCCUACAUGGCGCCCUGGCUGGCUUCCAGGCAGGGGAAUACAGGGCUGGACAUCAAGGCUUUUAGGCCACAAAACCCCUGCUCUGGGUCAUAUCCCAGCAGCUAACAGAAGAUUCCAGCGCCCAGACAACAUGCAUUUCCUUCCACAUGAUU
Molecule: non-coding RNA, 1173 nt
Organism: Manis javanica (Malayan pangolin)
Lineage: Eukaryota; Metazoa; Chordata; Mammalia; Pholidota; Manidae
Source: RefSeq, a predicted model, not a curated record